GAUGGGCUUGCGUCUGAUUAGAUAGUUGGUGUGGUAACGGCAUACCAAGUCGACGAUCAGUAGCCGAACUGAGAGGUUGAACGGCCACAUUGGGACUGAGACACGGCCCAGACUCCUACGGGAGGCAGCAGUGAGGGAUAUUCGGCAAUGGGGGAAACCCUGACCGAGCAACGCCGCGUGAGGGAAGACGGUUUUCGGAUUGUAAACCUCUGUCCUCUGUGAAGAUAGUGACGGUAGCAGAGGAGGAAGCUCCGGCUAACUAC
This 263-nucleotide ribosomal RNA is filed under the name uncultured bacterium. Its description in RNAcentral is "partial 16S ribosomal RNA". It matches the Rfam family "Bacterial small subunit ribosomal RNA", at positions 224 to 504 of the family's 1533-position model. The record is from RNAcentral.